GACGAACGCUGGCGGCGUGCUUAACACAUGCAAGUCGAACGGUAAGGCCCCAGCUUGCUGGGGUACACGAGUGGCGAACGGGUGAGCAACACGUGGGUGACCUGCCCUGCACUUCGGGAUAAGCCUGGGAAACUGGGUCUAAUACCGGAUAGGACCGCACCGUGAGGGUGUGGUGGAAAGUUUUUCGGUGUGGGAUGGGCCCGCGGCCUAUCAGCUUGUUGGUGGGGUAAUGGCCUACCAAGGCGGCGACGGGUAGCCGGCCUGAGAGGGUGGACGGCCACAUUGGGACUGAGACACGGCCCAGACUCCUACGGGAGGCAGCAGUGGGGAAUAUUGCACAAUGGGCGGAAGCCUGAUGCAGCGACGCCGCGUGGGGGAUGACGGCCUUCGGGUUGUAAACUCCUUUCACCAUCGACGAAGGUUUUCUGACGGUAGAUGGAGAAGAAGCACCGGCUAACUACGUG
Molecule: ribosomal RNA, 464 nt
Filed under: uncultured bacterium
Lineage: Bacteria
Description: partial 16S ribosomal RNA
Rfam family: Bacterial small subunit ribosomal RNA
Source: RNAcentral